AACGAACGCUGGCGGCAGGCCUAACACAUGCAAGUCGAACGCCGUAGCAAUACGGAGUGGCAGACGGGUGCGUAACACGUGGGAAUAUACCCUUUGGUUCGGAACAACUCAGGGAAACUUGAGCUAAUACCGGAUAAGCGCGCGAGCGGAAAGAUUUAUCGCCGAAGGAUUAGCCCGCGUCUGAUUAGCUAGUUGGAGAGGUAACGGCUCACCAAGGCGACGAUCAGUAGCUGGUCUGAGAGGAUGAUCAGCCACACUGGGACUGAGACACGGCCCAGACUCCUACGGGAGGCAGCAGUGGGGAAUAUUGGACAAUGGGCGCAAGCCUGAUCCAGCCAUGCCGCGUGAGUGAUGAAGGCCUUAGGGUUGUAAAGCUCUUUUACCC
RNAcentral lists this ribosomal RNA (385 nucleotides) under uncultured bacterium. RNAcentral's name for it is "bacterial SSU rRNA". It matches the Rfam family "Bacterial small subunit ribosomal RNA", at positions 29 to 441 of the family's 1533-position model. The record is from RNAcentral.